RNAcentral lists this ribosomal RNA (253 nucleotides) under uncultured bacterium. Its description in RNAcentral is "partial 16S ribosomal RNA". It matches the Rfam family "Bacterial small subunit ribosomal RNA", at positions 524 to 776 of the family's 1533-position model. The record is from RNAcentral.
UACGUAGGGUGCAAGCGUUGUCCGGAAUUAUUGUGCGUAAAGAGCUCGUAGGCGGUCUGUCACGUCGGAUGUGAAAACUCAGGGCUUAACCCUGAGCUUGCAGUGGGUACGGGCAGACUAGAGUGCGGUAGGGGAGACUGGAAUUCCUGGUGUAGCGGUGAAAUGCGCAGAUAUCAGGAGGAACACCGGUGGCGAAGGCGGGUCUCUGGGCCGUAACUGACGCUGAGGAGCGAAAGCAUGGGGAGCGAACAGG